This 27-nucleotide non-coding RNA is filed under the name Mus musculus (house mouse). The record is from RNAcentral. Lineage: Eukaryota; Metazoa; Chordata; Mammalia; Rodentia; Muridae.
UAACUAUGCCUGGUAAUUUAGAAUGAG